GACGAACGCUGGCGGCGUGCUUAACACAUGCAAGUCGAACGGAAAGGCCCUGCUUUUGUGGGGUGCUCGAGUGGCGAACGGGUGAGUAACACGUGAGUAACCUGCCCUUGCCUUUGGGAUAACCUCAGGAAACUGGGGCUAAUACCGGAUAGGAGCUCCUGCUGCAUGGUGGGGGUUGGAAAGUUUCGGCGGUUGGGGAUGGACUCGCGGCUUAUCAGCUUGUUGGUGGGGUAGUGGCUUACCAAGGCUUUGACGGGUAGCCUGCCUGAGAGGGUGACCGGCCACAUUGGGACUGGGAUACGGCCCGGACUCCUACGGGAGGCAGCAGUGGGGAAUAUUGCACAAUGGGCGGAAGCCUGAUGCAGCAACGCCGCGUGCGGGAUGACGGCCUUCGGGUUGUAAACCGCUUUCGCCUGUGACGAAGCGUGAGUGACGGUAAUGGGUAAAGAAGCACCGGCUAACUACGUG
RNAcentral lists this ribosomal RNA (468 nucleotides) under uncultured bacterium. Its description in RNAcentral is "partial 16S ribosomal RNA". It matches the Rfam family "Bacterial small subunit ribosomal RNA", at positions 28 to 507 of the family's 1533-position model. The record is from RNAcentral.